UACGAAGGGGGCUAGCGUUGCUCGGAAUCACUGGGCGUAAAGGGUGCGUAGGCGGGUCUUUAAGUCAGGGGUGAAAUCCUGGAGCUCAACUCCAGAACUGCCUUUGAUACUGAAGAUCUUGAGUUCGGGAGAGGUGAGUGGAACUGCGAGUGUAGAGGUGAAAUUCGUAGAUAUUCGGAAGAACACCAGUGGCGAAGGCGGCUUACUGGUCCGGUACUGACGCUGAGGUGCGAAAGCGUGGGGAGCAAACAGG
RNAcentral lists this ribosomal RNA (253 nucleotides) under uncultured bacterium. RNAcentral's name for it is "partial 16S ribosomal RNA". It matches the Rfam family "Bacterial small subunit ribosomal RNA", at positions 524 to 776 of the family's 1533-position model. The record is from RNAcentral.